Molecule: non-coding RNA, 114 nt
Organism: Triticum aestivum (bread wheat)
Lineage: Eukaryota; Viridiplantae; Streptophyta; Magnoliopsida; Poales; Poaceae
Source: Rfam
CAAGUACUCCCUCCGUCCGGAAUUACUUGUCAUCAAAAUGGAUGUGUCUAGAACUAAAAUACAUCUAGAUACAUCCAUUUCAAUGACAAGUAUUUUCGGACGGAGGGAGUACAA